UAGGGAAUAUUGCUCAAUGGGCGAAAGCCUGAAGCAGCGACGCCGCGUGAGUGACGAAGGCCUUAGGGUUGUAAAGCUCUGUUGUAAGGGAAAAUGAUGAUGGUACCUUAUAAGAAAGGACCGGCUAACUUCGUGCCAGCAGCCGCGGUAAGACGAGGGGUCCUAGCGUUGUUCGGAAUCAUUGGGCGUAAAGCGCAGGUAGGUGGCUCUACAAGUCAGGUGUGAAAGCCCUGGGCUCAACCCAGGAAGUGCACUUGAUACUGUCGAGCUUGAAUAUGGGAGAGGGCAGUGGAAUUCCUGGUGUAGUGGUGAAAUACGUAGAUAUCAGGAGGAACACCGGCGGCGAAGGCGGCUGCCUGGCCCAAUAUUGACACUGAGCUGCGAAAGCGUGGGGAUCAAA
RNAcentral lists this ribosomal RNA (400 nucleotides) under uncultured bacterium. RNAcentral's name for it is "bacterial SSU rRNA". It matches the Rfam family "Bacterial small subunit ribosomal RNA", at positions 355 to 772 of the family's 1533-position model. The record is from RNAcentral.